This is a long non-coding RNA of Nelumbo nucifera (sacred lotus), 1481 nucleotides long. RefSeq lists it as uncharacterized. The record is from RefSeq and is a predicted model, not a curated record. Lineage: Eukaryota; Viridiplantae; Streptophyta; Magnoliopsida; Proteales; Nelumbonaceae.
CAGUGCCUCAGUGAGUCAGUGGACGUUUACUCUCCUGUUGGAAGGGACGAAGAGUGAUUUAAUCUCAUUUCUCCAAGCGGUGGAAACAAGGGUUUUCUUAAGUUCAUUCUACCUUCUUCCUCCCCACAAAACUCUGCACGAGCUUAUUUUUUGUUUAUUGUUCUUCCAUUCGCAAGGAAAAUUUGAAGAGGCAACUCACGCCAGUAGCUUAGUCAUUUAUUUUUCUCGUCAUUUUUAAUAAAAACCUGAUUCUAUGUUCUCUCAGAAGGUUUCGCUGAUAGAAGAACAAGAACGAAAGGGUAAUCCAUUCACUUACCCUUUUCCUUGUUGGCACGAAAAACAGAUUAUCUGUUCUUUCCUUUUUUUUUUCUCUCUUUUUAGAAAGUGUUUCUUCAGCAGUAGAGCAAAGGGUGAUUUUCACUGGAGGGAGAACAAAGAUGGGUAAGUCUAUUUUAGCUUUACUUCUUCUUCUUAUUUUUUUACAUUCAAAAUUACAGUUUCUUCAUCUGUUGAAUGAUGGGAUCUUUUGACUGACUAUUUUUUUUUUUUUAACCGCUUUGUUCCAUGUGGUUAUUAUGUUCAUUGUCUUGUUGUUUGAGCUUCAAAUGCCAUCGGAAUCAUUUAUGAAAAUCAUUGGCAUGCCAACAAUGUACAAGAAAAAUAUGGGUUGGGGGAUUUCGCAAUGCAGAUCGAAGAACCCAGCAAUGAGAGAAAUGAUGAUACCCAGCAUAUUUACCAAGUAAACCCUCUGAAAAAAGAAUAAGAUAUCAGGAGAAAGGGGAUGUGAAUGUGGCUGGGGAGGUGUAACUGGAGGAUUUGAUUGGUCCAUCCAAUGCAAUCGAAGGCUAUGUUCGGAAGAACUGGAGUUAUCAUCAUUUGGAACAAUAUGGAUGUCAUCUACCUUGGCUUAUAUAUGGAAGGGAUGCAAAUUCCCAUAUAGAGAUUCAGCUGGUUGUCUUGCCUGGGCUUGUUGUAGAUGUCAGUUCAUCAAUCAGUAUCUAUUUUGGAGCAAGGAAUGAGGUGCGUACUUGAUACAAAUGUCAUUUGUGGAUGCAUUACCACUGUUAACAAGUAAACAAUGAAAUGUGUUUAUAUUUUUAUUUGUUGAUGCUCUAUCAGUCUGUAGAAUGCCUGUACUUCACUGGUGACAAGUAGGAGAAUACUAUUACACAAGGUGAGAUGCACAGGGUUGGGAUCACAGUCCCAUUGGACAGACAUCUGCCUUUUCUCUAUGAUUUUGAAAUCCUUGAAAUGGUUCAACUUUAUUUACUUGAAAGUGAAUCUAUCAUCUGUAUUAAUGUAAACCAAGGCUUGCACAUGUAGAUAACUUCGCUGAAAUGAUUUACUCCACUUUGGUGGAUAUUGAAUUUUAUUGGGGUUGCUGGAAAUCAAACAUCUCUGGUCGGUUGUAUUUCUCUUGUUUGUAUUGACCAACAAUUUUGAUUCCCCCUCUAUACAAGUCAUGGUUCCAAUGUUUUGUA